This is a long non-coding RNA of Ictalurus punctatus (channel catfish), 745 nucleotides long. Lineage: Eukaryota; Metazoa; Chordata; Actinopteri; Siluriformes; Ictaluridae. The record is from Ensembl.
CAGCAGUGUUGCGUGAGUGUUUUUACUGCACAUCUUUGAUAUGAGUGCAGCGGUGUAUUAAAUUAUUUGGUGUAUGUUACAGAUAUAGCGCUCGGGGCUGUGACUCCUCCAUGUGUUACUGAUGUGAAUGUCUGCACGCUAUUCCGCACUCAUUUACUGAGCUCACGUAUCUGAGCUCACGUGUUCAAUUACAGCUGAACAUCUGCCUGGUGUCAAACUGAGUUCUACAUCAGCAGCUAACAAUAAAGUGAAAGAUUUAACAGGAAGUCAGAAAUUGUCUACAAGCUCCUCCUCCAGCCAUGUGUAGGAGGUGUGUGUUGGAGGGUGGAGGUGUGUGUUGGAGGGUGGAGGUGUGUGUUGGAGGGUGGAGGUGUGUGUUGGAGGGUAGAGGUGUGUGUUGGAGGGUGGAGGUGUGUGUUGGAGGGUGGAGGUGUGUGUUGGAGGGUGGAGGUGUGUGUUGGAGGGUGGAAGUGUGUGUUGGAGAGUGUAGGUGUGUGUUGGAGGGUGGAGGUGUGUGUUGGAGGGUGGAGGUGUGUGUUGGAGGGUGUAGGUGUGUGUUGGAGGGUGGAGGUGUGUGUUGGAGGGUGGAGUGUGUGUUCUCAGUAUGUAAGUUGGAUUUUCAGGUGAGGUUGGAGAGUAAUGUGUGUGAGUGCUCACUUUACUGAAAUAAAGCAUCACAGCUGGAACAGGCAGAUUUGCGUGCAGACAUGAACAUGAAGAACAUCUGGAGGAACCUCCACCUCUG